Molecule: ribosomal RNA, 274 nt
Filed under: uncultured bacterium
Lineage: Bacteria
Description: partial 16S ribosomal RNA
Rfam family: Bacterial small subunit ribosomal RNA
Source: RNAcentral
AUACGGGGGGUGCAAGCGUUAAUCGGAAUUACUGGGCGUAAAGCGCGCGUAGGCGGUUUGCUCAGUCGGAUGUGAAAGCCCAGGGCUCAACCUUGGAACUGCAUACGAUACUGGCAAACUAGAGUGUGAGAGAGGAUAGUGGAAUUUCCGGUGUAGCGGUGAAAUGCGUAGAUAUCGGAAGGAACAUCAGUGGCGAAGGCGACUGUCUGGCUCAACACUGACGCUGAGGUGCGAAAGCGUGGGUAGCAAACAGGAUUAGAGACCCUAGUAGUCC